UACAGAGGUCUCAAGCGUUGUUCGGAUUCAUUGGGCGUAAAGGGUGCGUAGGUGGCGGGGUAAGUCAGGUGUGAAAUUUCGGAGCUCAACUCCGAAACUGCAUUUGAUACUGCCUUGCUUGAGGACUGGAGAGGAGACUGGAAUUCACGGUGUAGCAGUGAAAUGCGUAGAUAUCGUGAGGAAGACCAGUGGCGAAGGCGGGUCUCUGGACAGUUCCUGACACUGAGGCACGAAGGCCAGGGGAGCAAACAGG
This 253-nucleotide ribosomal RNA is filed under the name uncultured bacterium. RNAcentral describes it as "partial 16S ribosomal RNA". It matches the Rfam family "Bacterial small subunit ribosomal RNA", at positions 524 to 776 of the family's 1533-position model. The record is from RNAcentral.